GAUGAACGCUGGCGAGAUGCCUUAUACAUGCAAGUCGUACGAGAGUUUUUAACUCAAGUGGCGGACGGGUGAGUAACACGUAAGAAUUUGCCUUUAGGAGGGGGACAACAACUGGAAACGGCUGCUAAUACCCCAUAUGCUUUCGAGUGAAAUGGAUUUUUCCGCCUAGAGAGAAGCUUGCGGCUGAUUAGCUUGUUGGUGAGGUAAUGGCUCACCAAGGCGACGAUCAGUAUCUGGUUUGAGAGGACGAUCAGACACACUGGAACUGAGACACGGUCCAGACUCCUACGGGAGGCAGCAGUAGGGAAUUUUCCGCAAUGGGCGAAAGCCUGACGGAGCAAUCUCGCGUGAGGGAUGACGGCCUAUGGGUUGUAAACCUCUUUUUUCAGGGAGGAAUCAAUGACGUGUACUCUGAAGAAUAAGCAUCGGCUAACUCCGUGCCU
This 443-nucleotide ribosomal RNA is filed under the name uncultured bacterium. RNAcentral's name for it is "bacterial SSU rRNA". It matches the Rfam family "Bacterial small subunit ribosomal RNA", at positions 28 to 510 of the family's 1533-position model. The record is from RNAcentral.